Molecule: long non-coding RNA, 1405 nt
Organism: Macadamia integrifolia
Lineage: Eukaryota; Viridiplantae; Streptophyta; Magnoliopsida; Proteales; Proteaceae
Exons: 3
Source: RefSeq, a predicted model, not a curated record
UUUUCUUUAUUCUAACAAUGCAAUACCAUAGAAGAGAGAUUUGAUGGGAUACAUUUUUAUUGGAGUUUAUCCUGGUGCAAUGAGAGCCUGGUUCAAUUGUUGAGUUCUUCAUCUUCCUCCCUGGUUUGAAUAUCUUCUUCAAAUCCCUCUUCCUUUUAUCAGCAUCAGACUUGGUUUAGCAAGAGAGAGCUUUGAUCUCUCUGAUCCUCGUUUCUUUCAACCAGAAAUUUUGGGAACCUCACUUACCUGUAGGCAACCCUAACCGUGAAGUUUGAUCUUAAGAUCUCUGGUUGUGAUUUGGAUCAGAACUUUGUUGUACUCAAGAGUCCUGGUAGUGAAGAAUUUUAACCUGAAAUGUCAGACUGAACUGUUUCUCAACUGUCAAUCUCUCAUGAAUGAGAUCUCCCUUUCGAUAGCAGGUUUGAUCUACCGCUGGUUUUGUUAGAAUCAUGAGGUUGAGGAAAAGUAAAGUCCUGAGAUUGCCUAGACCCACUUCACUUAUAAUUACUACAUAAAGCCCUCGUGUCUCAAAGUUUUUUCUGUUCUACUCCCUUUCUCAUUGUUAUUCCAGAUCUGUCAUUUUCUUUCAAUUUUAUUUACUUAUAUGCCCUAAAGUAUGUUCUCUUCCAGAAGAGCCUUUAUUCGUGCUAUGAAUUUACAGAAUUUUCACUCAACCAUUACAUUGUUUUAUUUAUUAUUCAUGUGGGCCCUUAGCGACCUAUAUCUGGGUGUUGGAACCCUAGGUAGCAUCAGAAAGACUAUACACCUGCAGUGGACAAAACAGCAUUUAUAACAGUUUUCUAGUUCACUUAUUAUUUAAUAUUUUAUCUUUGGCUUGAAUAGGUCUGAUGAUAGCAAUCAACUUGUCUCUAUCUUGUCUUUAUCUCUAGUGUUCUUUUAGUAAAAUUGGUUGUUUUUUUAUUAUUUUCUUUUGGAUAAUGUUAUCUUUUAAUGCUAUCCUAUUUGGGUUUGUUCAUAUUAUAAAUAGAUGUAAAGGCCUAUGGACCCCCAACUAUUUGAAUUGAGAUUUAGUUCAGUUUCUCUCUCUCUCUCUCUCUCUCUCUCUCUCUCAAUUUUUUGCUGCUGUGGAUUCAGUAGUGUGCUUGGUAGAUUUCUAGUGAAGGGUAAGGUGGUUUCGUCAGCGGAAGAGUGGAUUUCCUUCAUGGGUUUAGUGGAUUCUGGCCAUUUUCUAUCAAUUCUUUAAUUUUCUAUUAGAUCUAAUUUCAUAUUCUAUUGAUUCCAUUUCCUAUAUCUCUGUUCUACGAUCUUGUUUGUACUAGCUUCUAGCUAGAUUUUUCUGUUUCAGGAUUAGUUUACAUUACCUGGUCUUUAUGUAUUUAAUUUAAUUUGCUUUGCUUUCUUCUAUUCAUUAUCUUGGAAGACUCAUCACCAUCUACUUUCCCUC